Molecule: ribosomal RNA, 561 nt
Filed under: uncultured bacterium
Lineage: Bacteria
Description: partial 16S ribosomal RNA
Rfam family: Bacterial small subunit ribosomal RNA
Source: RNAcentral
UGGGGAAUAUUGGACAAUGGGCGCAAGCCUGAUCCAGCCAUGCCGCGUGAGUGAUGAAGGCCCUAGGGUUGUAAAGCUCUUUCAGCGAGGAGGAUAAUGACGUUACUCGCAGAAGAAGCCCCGGCUAACUUCGUGCCAGCAGCCGCGGUAAUACGAAGGGGGCUAGCGUUGUUCGGAAUCACUGGGCGUAAAGCGCACGUAGGCGGACUUUUAAGUCAGGGGUGAAAUCCCGGGGCUCAACCUCGGAACUGCCUUUGAUACUGGAAGUCUGGAGUCCGAGAGAGGUGAGUGGAACUCCGAGUGUAGAGGUGAAAUCCGUAGAUAUUCGGAAGAACACCAGUGGCGAAGGCGGCUCACUGGCUCGGUACUGACGCUGAGGUGCGAAAAGCGUGGGGAGCAAACAGGAUUAGAUACCCUGGUAGUCCACGCCGUAAACGAUGGAAGCUAGCCGUCAGGGUGCAUGCACCUUGGUGGCGCAGUUAACGCAUUAAGCUUCCCGCCUGGGGAGUACGGUCGCAAGAUUAAAACUUAAAUGAAUUGACGGGGUCAUAGCUGUUUCCU